RNAcentral lists this ribosomal RNA (366 nucleotides) under uncultured bacterium. RNAcentral's name for it is "bacterial SSU rRNA". It matches the Rfam family "Bacterial small subunit ribosomal RNA", at positions 30 to 387 of the family's 1533-position model. The record is from RNAcentral.
AUUGAACGCUGGCGGCAUGCCUAACACAUGCAAGUCGAACGGCAGCACGAUGUGUAGCAAUACACAUGGGUGGCGAGUGGCGGACGGGUGAGUAGAAAGUAGGGAUCUGCCUUAUAGAUUGGGAUAACUUGGGGAAACUCGAGCUAAUACCGGAUAAGCACUACGGUGGAAAGCAUGGGACCGAAAGGCCAUGCGCUAUAAGAUGAACCUACGUCGGAUUAGCUAGUUGGUUAGGUAAAGGCUGACCAAGGCGAAGAUCCGUAGCUGGUCUGAGAGGAUGAUCAGCCACACUGGGACUGAGACACGGCCCAGACUCCUACGGGAGGCAGCAGUGGGGAAUAUUGGACAAUGGGGCGAACCCUCGAU